CAAGGCCGAUUUUAAUCGGCCUUGAAUCGAGGCUAGUCAAUAACAGUCUCCAAGUUGUUGACUGUAUCAGUUUCAGUGCUCAAGCUAGUAAGUAAUGUCUUCAUCUUGAUAAAUAUGCUAAUUUUAUAUUGUGUAUACUAUAAUUAUAUAGGCACUAGGCUACCAUGCAGGCUGGGGGGUCGCCCUUAUUGUAAUUAAUUGCAGUGGUUUUUACUGUCGUAAUCGUUGCUGUAAUAAUUGCUUGCAUAGCCAUGAGAAAAGGUGAGUAACUCAAUUUAACUUUUAACUGUGUGAUCGUAUAGAUGAUUGUGAUCUAGAUAAUGCGUCAGAUCCUACGCGAAGAUAUUACUAUCAUUUGGCAGUACCGAUCUAAGCGGAUGUCACAUGCCCAUUACUUAUCUCUGUCACGCUAGAGGCUGGGAGUCAUGUGACUGCAGUUAGGUUUUUGGGAAGUACUGAGAUUGCAUUAUCUCCUUCCUUAACUGAAAGCCGCAGAUUGGAAUUCCUGUUACAUCAGCUUCCUCAAAAGUUCCCUAGCUAUUUCAUUAGUAUAGGGUGUUUUUUGGGUAAUUCAAAAUCACUUAUGGAUAAAGAGACAAUACUUUUUGUUGAAAUCUGCUUAUGAGUUGUAAUUGAAUAAUUAUGUGUAAUACUAUAAUGACUGAAUAAUAAUUGCUAUCUUCAUAUUUUUGCAUUUCAUGUUACGACCAAAUUUAAUGUGUCAGGGCUAUAUAAGUUAUAUGCUCUCGCUCUGCGCUUUUUGGUGUUUCUUUCAGCCAAUCCUAGCAAUUUUAACUUAAUAGAGGGGUUGGUAGAUUAUGUUGGCAUAAUUUUGAGCAUAAUAAGCACAUACAAUUAUAACAAUUAUGAGAAUAACAGGCAGGCAGGUUUUGGAAAUACUUGCGGGUCGUUAAGUAUCUCCUUGGUGUUCUAGAUAGAGUCAUGUGGCUAUUAUUUAUAGUUUGAUGUUAAUAUGUGCAAGGACAUGGGGUCUAAUAGACCGGUCUAUGUUGUGCUUUGGAGGAAAAAUAAUUAUAGUCAAUGUGAAAAGAAUAAUAUAUAGGCUGUUAACUUGAGCAUAAAAGUAAUUAUCUCGAGCAUACUCGUAUACCGUUUAAUUUGUUGAUCUGCUGCGAAUUAAGACUGUACACGUCCAUUGCUGUUUCAUUGGACAUGAUCUAUAAAUUACAUCGAUCUAUACUCAGCAUAUGCAUGAAGUAUUAGUAAUGUUGGCAUAAUUAUUUUAGAGGCAACAAAUAACAAAGCCAUUCUUGCUAUACGGCCUAUAUAAAUAUAUAACCUUAAUAAUAAGUCCAAAUUCUAUCAACAUUCUUAAGCAAAAUCUACUGCCAUGACAAUGUUUUUUACUUCUCUCUUAGUAAUUUCUACUGUUCUUUUUGUUGAAGGUGAGUAGAUUUGUGCAGCCAGCUAGUUUAUUUACCGCACGUAUUAAAUGUGGUACAGCAGCAGAAGCAUACCUAAAUGUUAAAAGUGAGGCUUGCUCGGAGAGGGCUAGGGUGAAGCUGAUCUGUGAAGGAGUGGAUCUUGAAGGAUUACGUUGGCGUUACAGCAGCCCUAACUCUACCGAAUAUGUGAACAUCUUCAAAUUCCUCGUGGAUGCUUCUCCACAAACUUUUCCUAGCAACAUCACUAAUAAAAAAAAUCCUGCAUUCUUGAGCGUUCAAUUGGUCACUAUUUCUCGCUGUCCUGAGUCAUACAUGGCAAAUUGGUCAUCCAUACUAACGGUUGAUCUGUUGGCGCUAGAAAAGCAGAACAUUACUAGCAUAACAUGUGGCGAUAUCGUUACCUAUAUGAGGAUACUGGUAUCUGAUAUUAUAGUCUGGGAUCCUGUCAAUACGAUAAUUAUUGCCAUCUACCAGUUUGGUGUUUUGACUAGCGUAAAAGUACAACUAUAAUAAGGAAUUUAGUAAGUUUUAGUGUAAUAAAAUUUACAAAUUGCUAUGGAACCUCUUUAGCUGAUAUGCUCUUCAAUUCUCAUGUACACCGUGACAAUUAAUGGAUCAGAUGAGGUCAAAAUUAUGAAAACUUGUGUUGGUCUGUUCUGCGAAGCCAGAUUUUCCUCCAUAAGAACCAUUAUGGGAGAGCACAACAUUGAACUGAGUUUGUUUACUACUAGAUCGUCUAGGAUUAAUACAAAAAUGUACGCAUCUGUAUACGUAAUAGGUGAGACAUGAAUAUAUUACAUCGUGCUUUCUUAUAGUGCAGUUAUUAAUUCUAUAGGACUCAAAAGUGAAGAUUACUUUCGUACUCAAGUUAAUUCAACUAACUGUCUCUAUUCAGUCAGUUGUGCAGUCAUUCAAAACGACUCUACUUGUACUAUACAACACACAACACUGAGUAAUCAGCCUCCUAUUAAUAGCACGGGAAUGUUGAAAAUUCCACAUUCAAGUCCUGGUACAGGCCACACAUUUGCGUUUUCAGUGAAGGCAAACAAAAAUUUACUUAUCAAACAAAAUAUGUCUGUUACAGGUUAGGUUCAAGUUUUCAGUCAAUAAUGCCUCUAUAUAACUAUAGUGUUGUAAAUAGAUGGAAUCCCUGUUGAGUUUAAAUCAACUGCCAUUCUUAGCACAACUUCACUGUACCUUUUCUUGAUGGUCAUUCAUUUCUUAUUACUACUUAUAGGAGGUGAGUUACCAUUAACUAAAAAUAAUAGCUUUGAAAAUUGGAAAUGUAGCUUUUUGUAAGGUGAAGGUAUUUGUCUCUAGAAAGAAAUCUCUUGUUGUUUCUAUGGUGAUCCUACUCGUACUGCUUUUCAUUUGCAUUUCUUCACUAUUUGUCUUUGGGAUCAUUUUCUAUGGUAAACAAUGUUCAUUAAGUACUAGUAAAGUUAUUCUUAAAAAUUCCCCAUAGGUACACAAUGCAGUCCAGUUAGGAUGACACUUCACGACAGUAUGCUUGAUACAAUGUUAGUCAUUUCAUGUUUGGGAAUAACAAUUUUGAUUACUAUUUGGAGCUUUAUUGGACACGGAGUGUACAACCAUCGUAAAUUCACAUUGCGAUUUGAAAACAAAGAUACUUGCAUAGUUACAACACCUAGCAGAAAAAGUUCACCCUCCACACUUCCCAAACAAAGUAAAUCAGGUCAGCAUUCCAACAGUGUUUUGUACGAUGAGGUUGAUCUAGCAAAAGUCAAAGGCAAUGUCUCGGAUAUGAUAGAAGUUGAGUUGAAAGCUAACAAGUCUUACGGGCACACAGACAAGAGUAUUACGACUGCUUGCUCAACAUAUGCUACUCCAGAAUGCAACAGCCAAAAAGAUUUAUCAUUGAGUCACCAGUACAGCAAAAUCAAAGUGAAACCGAAAGCAAAGAGAAAGAGUGAGCAUCCUGAGCUAAUAAAUAUUGAGCAGAAGCAGAUAUUGCUGAAGUCUAACCAGUCGUAUGGUCAGCUAACAGGUGUUGUGGGUCAGAUAGGGGGAUGUGAACUACUACACGAGUACGACUACGUGGAUCCUUUAAGUCAGUAGAUCAUUACAAGACAAUUCCCAAUAAUUGUAGGUACUAACAUUGUAAUGUGUUAUUCAGUAUUGCAAAUUUAUACAUGCAUUGCAUGCUUUCUGGUUUCAUUUUUUAUCAAUAUACAAAGCAA
Molecule: long non-coding RNA, 3607 nt
Organism: Halichondria panicea
Lineage: Eukaryota; Metazoa; Porifera; Demospongiae; Suberitida; Halichondriidae
Exons: 3
Source: RefSeq, a predicted model, not a curated record